UAGGGAAUCUUCCGCAAUGGACGAAAGUCUGACGGAGCAACGCCGCGUGAGUGAUGAAGGUUUUCGGAUCGUAAAACUCUGUUGUUAGGGAAGAACAAGUUGGGUAGUAACUGACCCAACCUUGACGGUACCUAACCAGAAAGCCACGGCUAACUACGUGCCAGCAGCCGCGGUAAUACGUAGGUGGCAAGCGUUGUCCGGAAUUAUUGGGCGUAAAGCGCUCGCAGGCGGUCCUUUAAGUCUGAUGUGAAAGCCCACGGCUUAACCGUGGAGGGUCCUUGGAAACUGGAGGAUUUGAGUACAGAAGAGGAGAGUGGAAUUCCACGUGUAGCGGUGAAAUGCGUAGGGAUGUGGAGGAACACCAGUGGCGAAGGCGACUCUCUGGUCUGUAACUGACGCUGAGGAGCGAAAGCGUGGGUAGCGAACAGG
RNAcentral lists this ribosomal RNA (429 nucleotides) under Bacillota bacterium. RNAcentral describes it as "Firmicutes bacterium partial 16S ribosomal RNA". It matches the Rfam family "Bacterial small subunit ribosomal RNA", at positions 355 to 776 of the family's 1533-position model. Lineage: Bacteria; Bacillati; Bacillota. The record is from RNAcentral.